This 68-nucleotide transfer RNA is filed under the name Geocalamus acutus. RNAcentral describes it as "tRNA-Met". It matches the Rfam family "tRNA". Rfam says of the family: Transfer RNA (tRNA) molecules are approximately 80 nucleotides in length. Their secondary structure includes four short double-helical elements and three loops (D, anti-codon, and T loops). Further hydrogen bonds mediate the characteristic L-shaped molecular structure. tRNAs have two regions of fundamental functional importance: the anti-codon, which is responsible for specific mRNA codon recognition, and the 3' end, to which the tRNAs corresponding amino acid is attached (by aminoacyl-tRNA synthetases). tRNAs cope with the degeneracy of the genetic code in two manners: having more than one tRNA (with a specific anti-codon) for a particular amino acid; and 'wobble' base-pairing, i.e. permitting non-standard base-pairing at the 3rd anti-codon position. Lineage: Eukaryota; Metazoa; Chordata; Lepidosauria; Squamata; Amphisbaenidae. The record is from RNAcentral.
AGUAAAGUCAGCUAAAAAAGCUCUUGGGCCCAUACCCCAAAAAUGUUGGUUUAAUCCCUCCUUUACUA